Molecule: ribosomal RNA, 92 nt
Filed under: Polystachya adansoniae
Lineage: Eukaryota; Viridiplantae; Streptophyta; Magnoliopsida; Asparagales; Orchidaceae
Description: partial 18S ribosomal RNA
Rfam family: Eukaryotic small subunit ribosomal RNA
Source: RNAcentral
GGACACUGCGGGAAGUCCAUUGAACCUUAUCAUUUAGAGGAAGGAGAAGUCGUAACAAGGUUUCCGUAGGUGAACCUGCGGAAGGAUCAUUG